RNAcentral lists this ribosomal RNA (172 nucleotides) under Escherichia coli. RNAcentral describes it as "partial 16S ribosomal RNA". It matches the Rfam family "Bacterial small subunit ribosomal RNA", at positions 1 to 164 of the family's 1533-position model. Lineage: Bacteria; Pseudomonadati; Pseudomonadota; Gammaproteobacteria; Enterobacterales; Enterobacteriaceae. The record is from RNAcentral.
UUAAAUUGAAGAGUUUGAUCAUGGCUCAGAUUGAACGCUGGCGGCAGGCCUAACACAUGCAAGUCGAACGGUAACAGGAAUCAGCUUGCUGAUUCGCUGACGAGUGGCGGACGGGUGAGUAAUGUCUGGGAAACUGCCUGAUGGAGGGGGAUAACUACUGGAAACGGUAGCU